GGUUGACCUCGGAUCAGGUAGGGAUACCCGCUGAACUUAAGCAUAUCAAUAAGCGGAGGAAAAGAAACCAACCGGGAUUGCCUCAGUAACGGCGAGUGAAGCGGCAAGAGCUCAAAUUUGAAAUCUGGCCCCCUCGGGGUCCGAGUUGUAAUUUGCAGAGGAUGCUUCGGGUGCGGCCCCCGUCUAAGUGCCCUGGAACGGGCCGUCAUAGAGGGUGAGAAUCCCGUCUGGGACGGGGUGUCCGCGUCCGUGUGAAGCUCCUUCGACGAGUCGAGUUGUUUGGGAAUGCAGCUCUAAAUGGGUGGUAAAUUUCAUCUAAAGCUAAAUACUGGCCGGAGACCGAUAGCGCACAAGUAGAGUGAUCGAAAGAUGAAAAGCACUUUGAAAAGAGAGUUAAAAAGCACGUGAAAUUGUUGAAAGGGAAGCGCUUGCGACCAGACUCGCCCGCGGGGUUCAGCCGGCAUUCGUGCCGGUGUACUUCCCCGUGGGCGGGCCAGCGUCGGUUUGGGCGGCAGGUCAAAGGCCCCCGGAAUGUAGUGCCCUUCGGGGCACCUUAUAGCCGGGGGUGCAAUGCUGCCAGCCUGGACCGAGGAACGCGCUUCGGCACGGACGCUGGCAUAAUGGUUGUAAACGACCCGUCUUG
RNAcentral lists this ribosomal RNA (643 nucleotides) under Aspergillus elegans. RNAcentral's name for it is "partial 28S ribosomal RNA". It matches the Rfam family "Eukaryotic large subunit ribosomal RNA", at positions 1 to 656 of the family's 3401-position model. The record is from RNAcentral. Lineage: Eukaryota; Fungi; Ascomycota; Eurotiomycetes; Eurotiales; Aspergillaceae.